RNAcentral lists this ribosomal RNA (305 nucleotides) under uncultured bacterium. RNAcentral describes it as "bacterial SSU rRNA". It matches the Rfam family "Bacterial small subunit ribosomal RNA", at positions 337 to 658 of the family's 1533-position model. The record is from RNAcentral.
CCCUACGGGAGGCAGCAGUGGGGAAUAUUGCCCAAUGGGGGAAACCCUGAUGCAGCAACGCCGCGUGAGUGAAGAAGUAUUUCGGUAUGUAAAGCUCUAUCAGUAGGGAAGAAGAAAGACGGUACCUGACUAAGAAGCCCCGGCUAACUACGUGCCAGCAGCCGCGGUAAUACGUAGGGGGCAAGCGUUAUCCGGAUUUACUGGGUGUAAAGGGAGCGUAGACGGCAUAGCAAGUCUGAAGUGAAAGCCCGUGGCUCAACCGCGGAACUGCUUUGGAACCUGUUAAGCUGGAGUACUGGAGAGGC